ACUAAUGGCCAAAAACUAGAGAAUAAGAAAGAAAAAUAUGAAAUUGUACUGUUGUAAGCGUAAGUUGCACUCUUUGAGAUAUAAACUACAAUCUUUAAGAUGAAAAUUACAUUUUUUAAACAAAAAUUACACUCUUUGAAAGAUAGUUACACUGUUUCUCCUCCUCCUCCUCCUAUCCCUCCGCGUUUUUGUACUUUUUCUACGCCCAACUCCUUUUUGCCUCCACCUCCAACAAUUAUUUUACCAGAUUUGCUGCAGUGGAGAUGGAGGGCAAAGAAGAGUUGGACGUAGAAGAAGCAUGAGAAAGUGGAAGGGAAGGAGAAGGAGGAGGAGAAAUAGUAUAAUUAUCUCCCAAAGAGUGAAAUUUUUGUUUAAAGAGUGUAAUUUUCAUUUUAAAGAUUGCAGUUUACAUCUCAAAGAGUGCAACUUAUGUCUAUAACAGUGCAACUCCAUCUUCUUC
Molecule: long non-coding RNA, 460 nt
Filed under: Ananas comosus (pineapple)
Lineage: Eukaryota; Viridiplantae; Streptophyta; Magnoliopsida; Poales; Bromeliaceae
Description: long non-coding RNA (ACOM_LNC038889)
Source: RNAcentral